Molecule: transfer RNA, 76 nt
Filed under: Salmonella enterica subsp. enterica serovar Infantis
Lineage: Bacteria; Pseudomonadati; Pseudomonadota; Gammaproteobacteria; Enterobacterales; Enterobacteriaceae
Also listed under: 5 other names
Description: tRNA-Thr
Rfam family: tRNA
About the family: Transfer RNA (tRNA) molecules are approximately 80 nucleotides in length. Their secondary structure includes four short double-helical elements and three loops (D, anti-codon, and T loops). Further hydrogen bonds mediate the characteristic L-shaped molecular structure. tRNAs have two regions of fundamental functional importance: the anti-codon, which is responsible for specific mRNA codon recognition, and the 3' end, to which the tRNAs corresponding amino acid is attached (by aminoacyl-tRNA synthetases). tRNAs cope with the degeneracy of the genetic code in two manners: having more than one tRNA (with a specific anti-codon) for a particular amino acid; and 'wobble' base-pairing, i.e. permitting non-standard base-pairing at the 3rd anti-codon position.
Source: RNAcentral
GCUGAUAUGGCUCAGUUGGUAGAGCGCACCCUUGGUAAGGGUGAGGUCCCCAGUUAGACUCUGGGUAUCAGCACCA